RNAcentral lists this ribosomal RNA (257 nucleotides) under uncultured bacterium. Its description in RNAcentral is "partial 16S ribosomal RNA". It matches the Rfam family "Bacterial small subunit ribosomal RNA", at positions 524 to 776 of the family's 1533-position model. The record is from RNAcentral.
UACAGAGACCUCAAGCGUUAUCCGGAAUCAUUGGGCGUAAAGCGUACCGAUCGGUGGUUUUACAAGUCAGAAGUGAAAUCUCUCAGCUUAACUGGGAGACUGUCUUUUGAAACUGUAAAACUAGAGGGGCAAAGAGGAAGCUGGAACGAACGGUGUAGUAGUGAAAUGCGUUGAUAUCGUUCGGAACACCAAUAGCGUAGGCAGGCUUCUGGGUGCCACCUGACACUGCUAGGACGAAAGCGUGGGGAGCGAAUGGG